CCCACUGAGGCUCUCCCAGAGCUGAGUGCUUGUCUCUGUGAGCACUUUGCCCUCCGCACAGGGACUCCCAUGGGGCUGCUCUUACCCCCGUUGCUCAGUGGCAGAAGAGGUGGGGGAUCUGGAGUGACGUUUUUAGACUGUGAUCCCCAAUCAUGUGGAAGGACAUAUAUCCUAAGGAACAAUCUGUAAUAACCAAAACCUGGAAGCAACCAAUGUGUCCAACAACAGAUGAGAAAGUUGUGGUCUAUAUAUACAAUGGAAUACUACUCAGCUAAUAAAAAUGAUGAAUUCA
This is a long non-coding RNA of Erinaceus europaeus (western European hedgehog), 292 nucleotides long. RefSeq lists it as uncharacterized. The record is from RefSeq and is a predicted model, not a curated record. The transcript is spliced from 2 exons. Lineage: Eukaryota; Metazoa; Chordata; Mammalia; Eulipotyphla; Erinaceidae.